RNAcentral lists this transfer RNA (79 nucleotides) under Candidatus Uhrbacteria bacterium. RNAcentral describes it as "tRNA-Met". The record is from RNAcentral. Lineage: Bacteria; Candidatus Uhriibacteriota.
GCUGGGUAGCUCAGUUGGUUAGAGCGAGGGAUUCAUAACCCCUAGGUCGGCGUCUACCUAUUCCGCCAUCCCGGCAACA